CGCACCUUGCGCUCCUUGGUAUUCCGAGGAGCAUGCCUGUUUGAGUGUCUUGAAGUCAUCAACCCCUCCCGUUUCGUGCGGGUUCGGGUUGGAUCUGGGGGCUUGCUGCCGUGAGGCGGCUCCCCUCAAAUGCAUCGGUUGGGCCUGUGGGUCGAACUCGUUCUGGGUGUUGUAUCAACCUCGCUCUAACGGGAUGUUCCCCUUCCGUGCCCGACUCCGACCUGCCUUUGGAGUGGCGGUCAAGCUAAACUUUGAAAUCUGACCUCAAAUCAGGUAGGACUACCCGCUGAACUUAA
RNAcentral lists this unclassified non-coding RNA (296 nucleotides) under Trechispora subsphaerospora. Its description in RNAcentral is "partial contains 5.8S ribosomal RNA, internal transcribed spacer 2, and large subunit ribosomal RNA". Lineage: Eukaryota; Fungi; Basidiomycota; Agaricomycetes; Trechisporales; Hydnodontaceae. The record is from RNAcentral.